Long non-coding RNA from Sapajus apella (tufted capuchin), 937 nucleotides. RefSeq lists it as uncharacterized. The record is from RefSeq and is a predicted model, not a curated record. The transcript has 2 exons. Lineage: Eukaryota; Metazoa; Chordata; Mammalia; Primates; Cebidae.
ACCUUCUUCUAAUAGGUAAAGCCUUAACCAUUUACUCUAUGCUACUGUACUAUAUACCAUAUUAAACCAUACUGUACUGUACCCUACCAUAAUGUACCAUGCCGUGCAGUACUAUAUCAUUCUGGGUAUCAACAAGUAACUAUAGUAGCAAUACUCCAGUAGUUUUGAGGUUGAAUAUCAUUCUGGUUUGAACAUGUUGAGAUUCUUAUAAGAUAUCUAGAUGUAUAAGUAUUCAUUUAUUAACUAGAUUAUGUUCAGUUAUUGUAGUGACAAAGAUGUACAUAUGGCCAAUGUGAAUAAUUUAGUGUCCAAUUAAGGAUUGUGUAUUUCAUCUAGUGUAUGUAACUUAAGUUUCUUUCCUUCUAGUACUGUACAUUUUCUCUUCCACUUUAUAACAAGUGGAAGAGAAAUGUAUAGUACUAGAGCUGGUUGCUUUAAGAAAAUAGUAAUAAAGACCCAGUUACUUUAAUAAAGUAUCAUUUGACUUGUUGUUUGAUUUACUGUUAGUUUUAGAGGAAAUAAUGUGAAAUGAUUUAAGAAGGGGUAUGGGCAAAUUGGGAAGUGUAUAGAGGAGAGUGAUUAGGGAUAUAAAAACACAUCAAAAAGAGCAGGAAGAGGAACUGAGAUUGUUUUAUUUGAAGGAGAGAUGACUCAAGGAGAUAUGAAACUCUGUUAAAAUCUACUCUUUAUAACCAGUAGCAGUAAUAAUGCCAAACAAUAUGGAGGACUUAAAAAGUAUUAGGCAUUUUUGAAGUGGUUUAAGUAUAUUCACUCUUUUAAUUCUCCCAUGAGGCAGAUAUUACUUUUUUUUUUUCUUGUUAUAUACAGAUGAGUGAGGCAUAGAAUUAUACAGAUUUUAAGGUCAGACCUGAUAUAACAGCACCAGAUUUUCAGCUUAUGCAGGCUGACUCCAGAGUAGGCAUUUUAAAAUAUUUGU